Oncorhynchus kisutch (coho salmon) is the source of this 274-nucleotide long non-coding RNA. RefSeq lists it as uncharacterized. The transcript is spliced from 3 exons. Lineage: Eukaryota; Metazoa; Chordata; Actinopteri; Salmoniformes; Salmonidae. The record is from RefSeq and is a predicted model, not a curated record.
UCGAUGGGGAUACUGUAAUAAUGUGAGGGGUGCUUUAUGGAAACAGGUGCUGUCCAGUUAUUGAAAACAUGAUCUAGCCGAAAGGGUCGCCAAGGGAGGAAAGAAGACAUACGUUGAGUGCGGACACCCCAUGAUGGCCAGAAGGGAUGGGUGCAUUCCAGAAUGUUAUUAAGGGGAGAGAUGGGCCUGCUGUUCUCUACUUAACAGGAAUAUAUCUGUACAAGCCCUGCCACAAAAGGACCAGCUGACAUCAUGUCAGUGACUCUCUUGUUAA